Molecule: long non-coding RNA, 1377 nt
Organism: Numida meleagris (helmeted guineafowl)
Lineage: Eukaryota; Metazoa; Chordata; Aves; Galliformes; Numididae
Exons: 2
Source: RefSeq, a predicted model, not a curated record
CAAAGCAAGCUUUCCAAAGGGCUCCAUGCGUGGGGUUCUCUUUGGGCAGGGAAAGCCUUCCAAGAUCUGACUCCAGAACAACUUCAGACGUCAACACGCGAAGCUGCCUCGGUCCCCGCUCCUGCAGCGGUCUGGGCAGGCAGGUGGCUCCGUGGGGGUUAAGAACAAAGCACAGCGGCAGCACUGAACCUUCUGUCCUUUUUACACAACGCUCUCAUUGCAAAGAAGCCAUAAAGCAGAGCUAUUUUAACUCUUCUUUACAGCAGAGAGAAGCAUGGGAGGGACUCAGAGCAAGGAGAGUUGAUCCUCGCACCUGAAACACCACCACUUGAUCCUUCACCAACCACCAGCCAGGCAGAAGGACUUUGGGUUUUAUCCCAGGUCACUGCUGGAGCAUGGAAACAUCUUCCACAUCGGAUGUUUGGGGGUCACACACCCUCUGGGCUUGCUGCAGGGAUGAAGGUCCCUUUAUUUGCGAUAAGAGCAUGGAGAAGGGUUGGUUUGUUCCUUAAUGGCGAUCACCAGGGAGAUUUGCCCAGCCUCACCCAGAAGAUUGCUCCCCUCAUGCCUGAAGUACAGCUGAGGCUGUGCUUGUCCUCCAACUGCCCCAAGAAGAGAGGCAGCACUUAUCUGCGCUUCACAGACAGCUCACAGGAGGCAGAGAGACAAAGCCCCAGCUUCCCUCUGCUUCCCCAGAGAGCCAGGGUUGGGGAUUUCAUGGUGUCCAGGCACCUGAACCUGAGUCCAAGAGUCCUGCACAGAGCUCGGCCUCAAGGUGCUCACCGAGGCAUCCAUCCCCACGACCACGUCCUGGCUCUCCCAGCCAGGAGCUGUGGAUCAGCACAGCUGGAUAUCACUUGUCCCCAGCCCUGCGACAUCCACCAGCACAGCUCCCUUCGCCCAGAUCCCCCCAGCCGCUUUGCAGACUGCCAACUGAAAGGCACGUGGACCACGAAAAGCUACAGUCGAGCUGAAUCCCCAAACGAGGGAGGAGAUCCACGCCUGACAAACUUGCAUCCGAAGCAUCUCCCUCCAGCAGGAGCUGGGGCACGGGGGCAGCCAGGCACUCUGUGCUGCGAAGUGACAUGCAUCAAAGUAACAUGUGGCACAGUCACAGCCAUUCUAUUAAUUUAAGUUAAUUUCCUGCAGUUCUGUCUUAGUUUUCCAGCAGAUUCGGGACUUAAAGGUUAAAGCGUAACCUUGUCUCGGUAGCUUGCUAUUCGCUCCAUGCAAAUGUCUACCUACAGCCUGGUAAUUACAUGCAUUUCCAAAGAGCCAAUCCGCCGUCAGCCUGACAGAUACUGAUCUUCCCGUUUUAUUUUUAGCUCUGUGCUUCCCCCUCUAGAUGCAAAAAAAAAUUCUGUUUGUUCCAUCUCU